This 85-nucleotide transfer RNA is filed under the name Azoarcus sp. DN11. RNAcentral's name for it is "tRNA-Leu". It matches the Rfam family "tRNA". From Rfam's summary of the family: Transfer RNA (tRNA) molecules are approximately 80 nucleotides in length. Their secondary structure includes four short double-helical elements and three loops (D, anti-codon, and T loops). Lineage: Bacteria; Pseudomonadati; Pseudomonadota; Betaproteobacteria; Rhodocyclales; Zoogloeaceae. The record is from RNAcentral.
GCCCAAGUGGCGGAAUUGGUAGACGCACCAGAUUUAGGUUCUGGCGCCGCAAGGCGUGGGGGUUCGAGUCCCUUCUUGGGCACCA